Schistosoma margrebowiei is the source of this 46-nucleotide non-coding RNA. The record is from Rfam. Lineage: Eukaryota; Metazoa; Platyhelminthes; Trematoda; Strigeidida; Schistosomatidae.
GCACUGCUGAUGAGUCCCACAAUAGGACGAAACGGCCUCCCAGUGC